RNAcentral lists this ribosomal RNA (197 nucleotides) under uncultured bacterium. RNAcentral describes it as "partial 16S ribosomal RNA". It matches the Rfam family "Bacterial small subunit ribosomal RNA", at positions 328 to 539 of the family's 1533-position model. The record is from RNAcentral.
ACGCUCGACACCUACGGGGGCAGCAGUGGGGAAUAUUGCACAAUGGGGGAAACCCUGAUGCAGCGACGCCGCGUGAGUGAAGAAGUAUUUCGGUAUGUAAAGCUCUAUCAGCAGGGAAGAAGAUGACGGUACCUGAGUAAGAAGCCCCGGCUAACUACGUGCCAACAGCCGCGGUAAUCUGAGCGGGCUGGCAAGGC